Molecule: unclassified non-coding RNA, 216 nt
Filed under: uncultured fungus
Lineage: Eukaryota; Fungi
Description: partial contains 18S rRNA, ITS1 and 5.8S rRNA
Source: RNAcentral
AGGUGAACCUGCGGAAGGAUCAUUACCGAGUUCAUGCCCUUCGGGGUAGAUCUCCCACCCUUUGUAUACUAUACCUUUGUUGCUUUGGCGGGCCGCCUAGCUACUGGCUUCGGCUGGUAAGUGCCCGCCAGAGAACCCAAAACCCUGAAUUAUUAGUGUCGUCUGAGUAAAAUAUUUAAUAUUUAAAACUUUCAACAACGGAUCUCUUGGCUCUGG